GGUUGAUGGUUGAAGAUGGCGGUCGAAGUUCGAAAUUUUUAGAUUUUGAUUUUGCUUUCAUUGAAUAAUAUUUCUCAUUUCAUGAGAAUUUGAUUUUCUUUUUAUGCUUUCAUUUAUUUGUUUUUUAUCAAUAACUAUGUUUACUUUUCGUUUGAUUUUGAAUAAUCACGUUUGAUAUUUUUUCUUUUUUUUUGAAUCAAUUUACUUAUGUUUUGGUUACAAAAUAGGUACAAAUCAGGUGUUUUAAAACCGAAGAACCAAUUGUACUUAUGUUUUGGUUACAAAAUAAGUACAAAAUCAUGUACUUUUAAACCAAAAAAUCGAUUGGGACCCGAACCCGAAAAUACAUCGGAGUACUAGUUCUAUGAAGAUUUAAUAACCUGAUCUGAACCCGAUAGAAUCCGAACCAGUUCCGAACCAAACUUUCUUAUAACCCGAAUGAGAU
RNAcentral lists this long non-coding RNA (445 nucleotides) under Brassica rapa (field mustard). Its description in RNAcentral is "long non-coding RNA (BRAP_LNC007400)". Lineage: Eukaryota; Viridiplantae; Streptophyta; Magnoliopsida; Brassicales; Brassicaceae. The record is from RNAcentral.